This 279-nucleotide unclassified non-coding RNA is filed under the name plant metagenome. Its description in RNAcentral is "partial contains small subunit ribosomal RNA, internal transcribed spacer 1, and 5.8S ribosomal RNA". The record is from RNAcentral.
UUUCCGUAGGUGAACCUGCGGAAGGAUCAUUAUCGUACAAAAUGUGAGGGGCAUUCGAGGGCUGUCGCUUACUCAAAAGUCGUGCACGCCCGAGUGUGUCUUCUUGCAUAAUAAUCCAUUUCACCCUUUGUGCAUCACCGCGUGUGCACCCUUCGGGAUCCUCUCGGAGGGGGUCUCGCGUUUUCACACAAACUCCCCUUUUAAAAGUGUAGAAUGUCCACAUUUAUGCAAUCAAUACAACUUUCAACAAUGUAUCUCUUGGCUUUCGUAUCGAUGUAU